CAUCCCGGUAUCUAACUCUGUAGUACGCUGGACGUCGAGGUAGGCAAAGUACAAUAGAAGAAGGAGAACGAAGGAGAGAACAAAACACAGAAGGACAUUGUCAACAUUGAGUUUACUUUGGUUUGUCAACAUUGACAAGUCGUCGAGGGUUUGGAAAAAGGCUAGAAGGACAUUCUUCUUGUCUCGGUACCUGAGGUGCCUAGUCAAACUGUUGUCGGGAGACGAUCUGCCUCUGCCGAGUAGUGCUCUCUUAUGUUGUCUUAUAUGUCCACUACCUAGACAAACGUAGUCACCCGUAGGACGAAGGUCUUUUGUAUGUCCCUUAACCUUCCGGAGGAAGAAUUAGUAUCAGACAAGUGAGACGACAAUAGAACGUAUAAGAGGGUAACCUUUUUUGGAACAGUCGAUAGAGUGUUUUCAGGAUGUACUUUGUUUAAACCUACGACGUUCUGUACAACGUUGAACCGUUCCCUUACUAUUACAACGAAGAUAGUCGUCGUGAAGUUAAUUAGAGUCGGCCAGGAGUGCGAACCUGACAAACCCAUGUAGAUCAGAGAAGAGUCAUGUGGUAUAAGAACCAACCCAACAUGUACCACCCAAAUCCCAUACCACGUGUCGCGGGAACACAGUGCAGAAAACCUCGGCUAGUUAAACUACUGUGGCUAAUACACCUCUUUUGGUUUUUCUCGAGGAAGAAGUUAACCGUAAUAAAACGUUAGUUACAACCAAGUAACUAACGACCCUGACAAUAACAGACCCAAGUUCUUGUACUUCCGACCGAGACCCCAAAAUGUUAAAGUUGUGACCAACACUGAAAUCCACAUACAUAAAAAAAGAAUCCGAGGUAGUACAUAUCUAAAGUCUUCGGACCUCCUUCGGGAGACUGUUCUGAUACGGUCCAACAGUAACGUCGAUGAGCCUUGAAACUAUUUCAAAACGGUACACUAAGGAGUCGAGAAAUACUCAAAUACCCCGUUCCGAGCCGUUUGCUUCCGUCGGCCUUUAACCUCGUAUGUUGACCUGAACUCAAGAAACUAUUUCGAUGUUAACAUUGUAAUGGACUGACACUUAGAGGACCGGUUGUAUUAUUUACCUUCUAAACGUGACAGUGAGUCCAUCUCCUCAAUUUCUAAGACUAGUCCUACAAAGGUUAAACCAGCCGUUACCAUAACAAACGACGUCAAGUCCUUGUCUACAGAAGUUGUAAACAUCUCGUUCCCUACCGUUACCUAUUUGUGUAGCCCAGAAAGCUUUAUGGACGACGUAGGAAGGUCACACAUCUAUGUUAAUGACAGUAACAUGACCAAGGUUAAAUACCCUUUGAGUAACAAGGUCAUUAAUCUUUUAAAUGACCGUCUCGCUUACCGUAAUGCAGUGGUGUCGCUUAUCCCUAACCAAAUACAAAGAGCUACAAGAGUUACCACAGUCGUCGUAACCACCUCCCAUUGGCCGAUGUCUAACGUGUCCGGCUUCCAAACCACGUGGCGUUCCACCGACAAGGCUACUCGUAGCACACCGUUCCUGGGGUCAUGAAGGACGAUCCGCAGCGGAACCACAAGAGGUUAUAACCCGAUUGACUCCAAAAGAUACUACUUAGAGGUCUACCGUACGUUUCGAAUACAUACCGUAAGAGCGAACAAUUGUACAGCCAACCUUUAAUGGAAUCAAGUAAAUAGGAAAGGGAACACGGUCAUAAGUGUCGGUCUCCUCCGUCGGGUCCCACCUAUGGACUAUUGAACUUACUUCCCGUAAACCUAUCUAAGAUGGACUACUACCGACCCGACUCAAAAAACUUAUAUCAUCAGAAACAUAAUACACGAUACUCCAUGUUUACAUUCUUCCGAAAGACUAGGAGUAACUGGAGACGUUAUACCACUUCGCACACAUCUUUAACAUGACACCACUAUAUAUGGGACGCCGUAACGUUAAUGAACAGCACUACGAUACUUUGAACGAUACCAUCUAGCAAUAGUGUACACUAGCACCUUAGCCUAAAAGGCAGGUAAACGUGUUAUACCUGCGAUCCUUUGUUGUCCAGACAGCUUCCGGUUCAAACAUCUCUCUACCUGAGAAUAGAGAGGAGGAGACUCCCUAAAAUAGAUCAGAAACACGCAGCCCUCCGGUUAAAACACCGAGUGGUUACACGAUCCGUAGGGACUAAAGGGCUAACUG
This 2172-nucleotide ribosomal RNA is filed under the name Triticum aestivum (bread wheat). Its description in RNAcentral is "partial small subunit ribosomal RNA". Lineage: Eukaryota; Viridiplantae; Streptophyta; Magnoliopsida; Poales; Poaceae. The record is from RNAcentral.